Molecule: ribosomal RNA, 253 nt
Filed under: uncultured bacterium
Lineage: Bacteria
Description: partial 16S ribosomal RNA
Rfam family: Bacterial small subunit ribosomal RNA
Source: RNAcentral
UACGUAGGGUGCAAGCGUUGUCCGGAAUUAUUGGGCGUAAAGAGCUCGUAGGCGGUUUGUCACGUCGGCUGUGAAAACCCGAGGCUCAACCUCGGGCCUGCAGUCGAUACGGGCAGACUAGAGUAUGGCAGGGGAGACUGGAAUUCCUGGUGUAGCGGUGAAAUGCGCAGAUAUCAGAAGGAACACCGGUGGCGAAGGCGGGUCUCUGGGCCAUAACUGACGCUGAGGAGCGAAAGCGUGGGGAGCGAACAGG